RNAcentral lists this ribosomal RNA (396 nucleotides) under uncultured bacterium. RNAcentral describes it as "bacterial SSU rRNA". It matches the Rfam family "Bacterial small subunit ribosomal RNA", at positions 505 to 898 of the family's 1533-position model. The record is from RNAcentral.
GUGCCAGCCGCCGCGGUAAUACGUAGGGUGCAAGCAUUAAUCGGAUUUAUUGGGCGUAAAGGGCGCGUAGGCUGGAGGGAUAAGUCAGAUGUGAAAUCCCGGGGCUCAACCCCGGAACUGCAUUUGAUACUGCCCAUCUAGAGGGUAGGCGGAGAAAAUGGAAUUCCACAAGUAGCGGUGAAAUGCGUAGAUAUGUGGAAGAACACCGGUGGCGAAGGCGGUUUUCUAGCUUACUCCUGACGCUGAAGCGCGAAAGCAAGGGGAUCAAACAGGAUUAGAUACCCUGGUAGUCCUUGCUGUAAACGAUGUAUACUUGGUGUAACUGGACUCAACCCUAGUUGUGCCGAAGCGAACGCGAUAAGUAUACCGCCUGGGGAGUACAGUCGCAAGGCUGAA